AUACUUACCUGGCAGGGGAGAUACCAUGAUCAUGAAGGUGGUUCACCCAGGGCGAGGCUCAGCCAUUGCACUCCGGCUGUGCUGACCCCUGCGAAUUCCCCAAAUGUGGGAAUCUCGACUGCAUAAUUUCUGGUAGUGGGGGACUGCGUUCGCGCUCUCCCCUG
The sequence is a small nuclear RNA, 164 nucleotides long. Its record names the gene U1. It matches the Rfam family "U1 spliceosomal RNA". From Rfam's summary of the family: U1 is a small nuclear RNA (snRNA) component of the spliceosome (involved in pre-mRNA splicing). Its 5' end forms complementary base pairs with the 5' splice junction, thus defining the 5' donor site of an intron. The record is from Ensembl.